Molecule: long non-coding RNA, 1872 nt
Organism: Vicia villosa (hairy vetch)
Lineage: Eukaryota; Viridiplantae; Streptophyta; Magnoliopsida; Fabales; Fabaceae
Exons: 3
Source: RefSeq, a predicted model, not a curated record
UUUCUACAUUAUAAAGUGUCAAAUAAUAUUUUCAUUGUUGGGUAAAAAUGAGAAAAGAUAUGGAUGAAAUUCUCAAUUUUGUUUUUGUUAGGAUCCUCUUUUAUCUAUUUCUUUUUGUAACGGUUUCUGUUUCAUCUAAAGUGUGUGAGUACAACCGCGAUUGUUAUGAUUAUUAUUGUGAUGAUCCUAGUGGUAUUCGAAGAUGCAUCAAAUAUCAAUGUCACUGCAUAUACAGGACCUAAAGCAGGAUAGCUAUGGACAUGUCUAUGGUACACCGAACCAACUUAUUGGUUUAGUUUGUGAAUCUGUUGAUUAUUUUCAUACUCGUUUCACACCAUAUCUAUACACAUAUUAUCUUCAAAUGUUCAAUGAAGCUUAAUAUCAUUUGAUCUAUGGUGACUCCAUAAAAACACUAACUUAAUAGUGCUUUCUUAAAAAGCAGUAUUAAAUUUUUCACACAAAAACUUAAAAUAGAGCAUUUUUGGGAGUAUUUUAUAGGUUCAUCCCUAAUAUGCCGUUGUUCUAAUAUACACUUUUACGGGAUGCUAACAACGAAAAUAAAACAGGAGUAAGUUGUAUUGUUUAUAAGAUUUGUAAUGAAUUUUUGGGUUAAUAUAAAUUGAUUGGUUGUUUCUUAUAUGCAAUAAAAUUGUUAUUUAGUAUUUGAUAUUGAAUGUAUUUCUUUUGAUAUUUGCAUUUUGAAAAGAAUGAUGGUAAUGUUCUUGUUGUUGUAUUAAGUUACAAAACCUCUCAUAAUAAUUUUGUAAGUGGGACUAAAAAAAAGAGGGCCUUUAAUAGAGUUUAAUAAAAUGCUCACAGAUAGGUUUGCUUUUUUAUUUUUAAAUAUUAAAUCAUGUUUUAAAAAAAUGUUUUUAGUAGCGUCUUAUGAGGAGUGUUAUUGAAUAUAUGACGUUUGAUUGCUUAUAGGUUGGCCAUUUAUAAUAGUGGGGACUUUUUUUUUUGACGGAAAACGAUUAAUUCAUUUCAUUAAUAAUAAUAUUCUGAAUACAUGCUGGACUAUCAAAGAAAUUAUGAAAACUAGCAAGAGAUGGAGCCACCCGUGCAAGAGCAUGAGCAACCUCAUUAGCUUGUCUUCGGACGAACUUAACAUGAGAGUUCCUAAAGAAAAGAGCCAUCAACCGAUUACAUUCUCCAAUAAUAGCUCCAAGAUCCGAGUCAUCUGGUUUCGGAAUGGUCACGCUAUCCACCACUCGCUUGGCAUCUAAUUCAAAAUCCAUAUUAUCGUACCCCAAACCAUGGACCCAAUUUAAAGCUAUCAAAAGACCUAGGGCUUCUCCAAUAACAACAUCGGUACAAGGCGUAAACCAUUCUGUCCGGGCUAUAACGAAUUUACCCGUGUCAUCUCUAAUGCAAGCACCCAAACCCACCUUAAUUUGUGAAAAAGCCGCAUCAAUAUUGCAUUUGAACCUGCCCCUCUGAGGUUUUUCCCAUCUGAUAACACCUGACGGGGAAUUUAUAAUCCCAUUAUUGGGACGCUGUUGCUGGGCCUCUCUCCAAUCGGUCAAUAACAGAUAAGUCCGCUGACAUAUAUGCAUCGGAGAGUCUUCCACCUGGUUCCAGAAAUGAUUAUUUCUCCCUUUCCAGAUACUCCAUAAGGAUACUGAGAAAAGCGCUUUUUGGUCUUGAUUAGAUACCUGCAAAACGAAGAAAAUAACAGACACAAAUGACUCGCCAUUACCACUGAGUUGCUGUAACAUAGACCACAAUCCCACUUUUUUCCAACACUCGAUGCUUUUAGUACACUGGAGAAAAAGGUGAUAAUUGUUCUCUUCGCCUACUCCACACGCUAAACAAUUUGGGAAUAAUCUCCUUCUAGUAGGCACACAGUCUCUACACAAACGCCACAUGAAA